This 254-nucleotide ribosomal RNA is filed under the name uncultured bacterium. Its description in RNAcentral is "partial 16S ribosomal RNA". It matches the Rfam family "Bacterial small subunit ribosomal RNA", at positions 524 to 776 of the family's 1533-position model. The record is from RNAcentral.
UACGAGGGGUCCUAGCGUUGUUCGGAAUCAUUGGGCGUAAAGGGUGUGUAGGUGGCUAUGUAAGUCAGGUGUGAAAGCCCCGGGCUCAACCCGGGAAGUGCAUCUGAUACUGCGUAGCUUGAGUACCGAAGAGGAUAGUGGAAUUCCAGGUGUAGUGGUGAAAUACGUAGAUAUCUGGAGGAACACCGGUGGCGAAGGCGGCUAUCUGGUCGAGUACUGACACUGAUGACACGAAAGCAUGGGGAUCAAACAGG